RNAcentral lists this ribosomal RNA (292 nucleotides) under uncultured bacterium. Its description in RNAcentral is "partial 16S ribosomal RNA". It matches the Rfam family "Bacterial small subunit ribosomal RNA", at positions 505 to 796 of the family's 1533-position model. The record is from RNAcentral.
GUGCCAGCAGCCGCGGUAAAACGUAGGAGGCGAGCGUUAUCCGGAGUUACUGGGCGUAAAGCGCGCGCAGGCGGUCCGUUAAGUCGGGCGUGAAAGCCCCAUGCUAAACGUGGGGAGGACGAACGAUACUGACGGACUGGAGUAGAGCAGAGGGACAUGGAAUUCCGGGUGUAGCGGUGAAAUGUGCAGAUAUCCGGAGGAACACCAGAGGUGAAAACGGUGUCCUGGGCUCAUACUGACGCUGAGGCGCGAAAGCGUGGGGAGCGAACGGGAUUAGAUACCCCGGUAGUCC